GGGCCCGUGGUGUAAUGGUAGCACGUCGGGCUAGGAAUGAACUCCCUAGCUGGAAGCGUUGGUUCGAACCCUUCCGGGUCCA
RNAcentral lists this transfer RNA (82 nucleotides) under Caenorhabditis remanei. It matches the Rfam family "tRNA". Rfam says of the family: Transfer RNA (tRNA) molecules are approximately 80 nucleotides in length. Their secondary structure includes four short double-helical elements and three loops (D, anti-codon, and T loops). Further hydrogen bonds mediate the characteristic L-shaped molecular structure. tRNAs have two regions of fundamental functional importance: the anti-codon, which is responsible for specific mRNA codon recognition, and the 3' end, to which the tRNAs corresponding amino acid is attached (by aminoacyl-tRNA synthetases). tRNAs cope with the degeneracy of the genetic code in two manners: having more than one tRNA (with a specific anti-codon) for a particular amino acid; and 'wobble' base-pairing, i.e. permitting non-standard base-pairing at the 3rd anti-codon position. The record is from Rfam by way of RNAcentral. Lineage: Eukaryota; Metazoa; Nematoda; Chromadorea; Rhabditida; Rhabditidae.